RNAcentral lists this ribosomal RNA (889 nucleotides) under Bacillus velezensis. RNAcentral describes it as "bacterial SSU rRNA". It matches the Rfam family "Bacterial small subunit ribosomal RNA", at positions 62 to 932 of the family's 1533-position model. Lineage: Bacteria; Bacillati; Bacillota; Bacilli; Caryophanales; Bacillaceae. The record is from RNAcentral.
UCGAGCGGACAGAUGGGAGCUUGCUCCCUGAUGUUAGCGGCGGACGGGUGAGUAACACGUGGGUAACCUGCCUGUAAGACUGGGAUAACUCCGGGAAACCGGGGCUAAUACCGGAUGGUUGUCUGAACCGCAUGGUUCAGACAUAAAAGGUGGCUUCGGCUACCACUUACAGAUGGACCCGCGGCGCAUUAGCUAGUUGGUGAGGUAACGGCUCACCAAGGCGACGAUGCGUAGCCGACCUGAGAGGGUGAUCGGCCACACUGGGACUGAGACACGGCCCAGACUCCUACGGGAGGCAGCAGUAGGGAAUCUUCCGCAAUGGACGAAAGUCUGACGGAGCAACGCCGCGUGAGUGAUGAAGGUUUUCGGAUCGUAAAGCUCUGUUGUUAGGGAAGAACAAGUGCCGUUCAAAUAGGGCGGCACCUUGACGGUACCUAACCAGAAAGCCACGGCUAACUACGUGCCAGCAGCCGCGGUAAUACGUAGGUGGCAAGCGUUGUCCGGAAUUAUUGGGCGUAAAGGGCUCGCAGGCGGUUUCUUAAGUCUGAUGUGAAAGCCCCCGGCUCAACCGGGGAGGGUCAUUGGAAACUGGGGAACUUGAGUGCAGAAGAGGAGAGUGGAAUUCCACGUGUAGCGGUGAAAUGCGUAGAGAUGUGGAGGAACACCAGUGGCGAAGGCGACUCUCUGGUCUGUAACUGACGCUGAGGAGCGAAAGCGUGGGGAGCGAACAGGAUUAGAUACCCUGGUAGUCCACGCCGUAAACGAUGAGUGCUAAGUGUUAGGGGGUUUCCGCCCCUUAGUGCUGCAGCUAACGCAUUAAGCACUCCGCCUGGGGAGUACGGUCGCAAGACUGAAACUCAAAGGAAUUGACGGGGGCCCGCACAAGCGG